GUGGCCAUUAUGGGUGAUGAAGCCCUGCUUUCCUGGGAUAGCUGAGCCCCUGCCUGCCCCUGGGAAGGGAGCCUGAAGCAGUCUCAGAUGGAUAAGAUUAGGAGUCUGAAAGAUGCAUAGUAAGACUGGAGAAGAUAUUGCCAGAAACAGUCUACCUUUCAGAGUUAAAGGAGUCUUUUGGAACUACUUUAAAAAACUUCUUAACAAAGCCUACACAGACUAUAUUCCAAAAUUACAGAUUCAAAUAUGUAGAAUCAAAAGGACACACCAUUUAACACAAUUUAUAAAU
Passer montanus (Eurasian tree sparrow) is the source of this 289-nucleotide long non-coding RNA. RefSeq lists it as uncharacterized. The record is from RefSeq and is a predicted model, not a curated record. The transcript is spliced from 3 exons. Lineage: Eukaryota; Metazoa; Chordata; Aves; Passeriformes; Passeridae.